AGUUUGAUCAUGGCUCAGAUUGAACGCUGGCGGCAGGCUUAACACAUGCAAGUCGAGCGGGGAAAGGUAGCUUGCUACCUAACCUAGCGGCGGACGGGUGAGUAAUGCUUAGGAAUCUGCCUAUUAGUGGGGGACAACAUUCCGAAAGGAAUGCUAAUACCGCAUACGCCCUACGGGGGAAAGCAGGGGAUCUUCGGACCUUGCGCUAAUAGAUGAGCCUAAGUCAGAUUAGCUAGUUGGUGGGGUAAAGGCCUACCAAGGCGACGAUCUGUAGCGGGUCUGAGAGGAUGAUCCGCCACACUGGGACUGAGACACGGCCCAGACUCCUACGGGAGGCAGCAGUGGGGAAUAUUGGACAAUGGGGGGAACCCUGAUCCAGCCAUGCCGCGUGUGUGAAGAAGGCCUUUUGGUUGUAAAGCACUUUAAGCGAGGAGGAGGCUACUUAGAUUAAUACUCUAGGAUAGUGGACGUUACUCGCAGAAUAAGCACCGGCUAACUCUGUGCCAGCAGCCGCGGUAAUACAGAGGGUGCAAGCGUUAAUCGGAUUUACUGGGCGUAAAGCGUGCGUAGGUGGCCAAUUAAGUCAAAUGUGAAAUCCCCGAGCUUAACUUGGGAAUUGCAUUCGAUACUGGUUGGCUAGAGUAUGGGAGAGGAUGGUAGAAUUCCAGUGUAGCGGUGAAAUGCGUAGAGAUCUGGAGGAAUACCGAUGGCGAAAGCAGCCAUCUGGGCCUAAUACUGACACUGAGGUACGAAAGCAUGGGGAGCAAACAGGAUUAGAUACCCUGGUAGUCCAUGCCGUAACGAUGUCUACUAGCCGUUGGGG
RNAcentral lists this ribosomal RNA (823 nucleotides) under uncultured bacterium. RNAcentral describes it as "bacterial SSU rRNA". It matches the Rfam family "Bacterial small subunit ribosomal RNA", at positions 10 to 828 of the family's 1533-position model. The record is from RNAcentral.